This is an RNA transcript of Arachis stenosperma, 1454 nucleotides long. It is a transcript of the gene named 2-hydroxyisoflavanone dehydratase-like, with no coding region annotated. The transcript is spliced from 3 exons. NCBI's taxonomy places the organism in Eukaryota, Viridiplantae, Streptophyta, Magnoliopsida, Fabales, Fabaceae. The record is from RefSeq and is a predicted model, not a curated record.
GUUGUUGCUGGGUCACACGAUGCUUCUUUCAAAAGGCAUUUUCCUCCGCUUCAUUAAGUAUGCACCACUGGCAACUUUUGUUUGUUAUAAACCGACGCUUCCUCCACCUACCCUCCUUCCUAAAAACCAAACACUAAUCUUCUCUGCUCACACACAACACACAAAAAUGGUCACCACCGCCCCACAAGAGAAGGAGGUAACACACGAGUUCCCCUUCUUCCGUGUCUUCAAAGACGGCACGGUGGAGGUCCUCCGUCCUCCACCGAAAUUCCUUCCUCCCUCCGACGACCCCGCCACCGGUCUCCGCAUCAAAGACACCGUCAUUUCAUCCGACCCUCCCGUCUCCGCUCGUCUCUUCCUCCCCAAAAUAACCAACAAUAACAAACUCCCUGUCUACCUCUUCUUCCAUGGCAGCGGCUUCUGUGCCAGGUCCGCCUUCUCUCCAGAAUACAGCAACCACGUCGCCGCCGUCGCCAACGAAGCCAAAGUCCUCGCGGUUUCCGUCGAGUAUGGCAAGUUUCCAGCCCGACCACUGCCCGCGUGCUACGAAGACGCCUGGAGAUCCUUCCAGUGGGUCACGUCGCACGCGGACGGAACAGGGACAGAGCCCUGGCUGAACGACCACGGCGACUUCCAGCGUCUUUUCGUCGCCGGAAGCAGCGCCGGCGGGAAUAUCACCCACACGCUGGUUAGCCAAAUCGGAAAAACAGGAUCUCCGCCGGGAGUGAGGGUAGAGGGUGCGAUUAUGGUCCACCCUUUCUUUGGUGGAAUAGGGGACGAUGCGCAGUGGCUGUUCAUGUGUAAGGAUAACAAGGGGCCGGAGGAUCCGAGGCUGAAGCCGGCGGAGGAGGAUUUAAGGAGGCUUGGGUGUGAGAGGGUGUUGGUGUGUGUGGCGGAGAAGGAUUCGUUGAUGGUUGCCGGAAAGAACUACGUUGAGGCGUUGAAGAAGAGUGGUUGGGGUGGGAGUAUUGAGCUUGUUAUUCAUUGGGGUAUGACACAUAGUCAACACGUUCACUUCCCAGAUCAAGGGAAAUCUCGUGAAGUUUUGCGAAAGUUUGCUUCUUUCAUCCAUCAACAACCAUGAAGGUCAUGAACCAAAUUCUUGGUACCAUUCAAUAGUGGGUUAUUGUUGGUUUGUGGCCCAAACACCAUUAGAAAAGUUGCAGGUCAUAACCUACCUCGGUGAGUUGCUAGAUGGGGACGGAGCGGAGGAUCUUUUAUCAUCUUUUGUACUUUUGGAUACUUUGUUAUAGUACUCUCACCUUUGUACUUUAUGCUUUGUUGCCUUAGAGGCUAAACUUGAGAGACAGGAUACAUAUUCUGUUUUAAAUAAAAAACUCUGUCAUGUUUGUAUUUAACUAGUCGGCCUAAACUCCGUGGUCUACGGUUGGUAUCCUUUUGACUAUCAUACUUAUAUAUAUGUGUAUGUAUCUAUCUUGAUUAUUAUUGUACUA